GAAAGAUUGUGGUGCUUGAGGAUGUGCCUUCGGAACCUCCUGCGGUAUUCAUGCUCGACCGAGGAGAUAUUUUCAGCUACAUAAUGGCUUCCAAUAGUUGGGUAAAGGAAACAAGUCUGCCAAGAAAAGCAUCUGAUGAAUCCUCUGUUGGCUUUGUUGCAUUGGAUGGGGAGCUGCAUGUGAUGACUCAUUUAAACGUGGUUAAAUCAAAGGAGUGCCAAAGAUUAAGGCAGCAGAAAAGGUCAGCAACUAUGCUUGUACAAAUAUACCAUCCUAGGACGAAGUCAUGGA
Molecule: unclassified non-coding RNA, 291 nt
Filed under: Hevea brasiliensis (rubber tree)
Lineage: Eukaryota; Viridiplantae; Streptophyta; Magnoliopsida; Malpighiales; Euphorbiaceae
Source: RNAcentral